RNAcentral lists this long non-coding RNA (1334 nucleotides) under Triticum aestivum (bread wheat). RNAcentral's name for it is "long non-coding RNA (TAES_LNC008033)". The record is from RNAcentral. Lineage: Eukaryota; Viridiplantae; Streptophyta; Magnoliopsida; Poales; Poaceae.
ACCAUUCCUCGGACAAUCUUCUUCCUCUACACUCUAGCUCAUCUUGCCCAUGCAUUUCUCCCUGGCUUGACUGGCCGUUGAUGAAGCUGCAGGAGCCAGCCCCCUAGCUAGCUAUCUGUCUGCCUAGCUGCUUCGUCGGUGAGUCCUGCUUCCUCGCCCGCUCGCUCGCUGGCCGGACUUGUAUUAACAAUACUAUUUAUUUCCCUUCUCAAUUGGUGAUCGGUUUUCAGUUUGGUAGUAGUAGUAGCAGCAGAUUCUUUUGUGAUCACUGGACUUGCACAUGCAUGAUUCCGGCUCUUAAACUGCUGCAGCACAUCAUCAGUUGUUGGUAGCUAGGAGUAGCUCCGGUGGUGCCCCGAAGUCGAGAAAAGCCAAGAGAAUCUUCCAAAUUUCGUCUUUCUUUCUGACUAGCAAGUUGUGGUGAGGUGAGUGGAGGCAGUAUCCUUUCCUCCGGAACUGAAACUCAACUCAAAAGGCAGGCGGAUCAAAUCAACCCAACCCCACCUGCACCUGCAGCGAACUGACUCACUGACUGGCUCUGUUUUCUUGUCUUCUUCAGAUCAGAUGAGCCAUCGAUCCAUCACGGAGCUCGAUCGCUCCGUAGCCACGUCGCACUCCAUUCUCUUUUCUUUUCUUUUCUUUUCUUUUCAAAAGUAGCCCAGGCAAGGCAAUAUAUUUACACUUGUGUGUGCGCAACUAGUUCUAUAUAUUUUUUUUCCUUUGAAAAGUCCACACCCCCCCAUGCAUGCGAUGCGAGUGUCGAACAGUGCCCCGUCACGUCACCUUAUAACUUGCCCCAAAUUUCUUCACGCCUGCCUGACUCCUUGAUCGUGACAAGAGCCUUCAUUGGUUUCCUCUUUUCCAACCCUACCUCAACAAUCACAACCGUACGCACGAAUAUCUCAUCUCGCCUGAAAAAUAACGGAUUUCUCUUUUCUUUUUAUUAUUAUUAGAAAAGCAAAAAUUGCAGAUAUGAUUUUCUCGCCAACAAAAUUGGAAUAAGAUAACAUGCCGGGCGAAUAUUCCCCCGGAGCGUAGAACAAAAACAACUGUCAGCCGCUUCGACUCGCCAGUAAAAUCGUAACAGCCAAGGUUUAUUCCCAACGAUCCCACCAAAAUACCUUUUGAUCCCAGCGUUCACAGCAGUCAACAACCAAGCCCAAGAGUCCCGGGGAAGCAGCAGGAGCCGCAGUAUUUAUCUCAUCUCUCAUCCCACCCGACGCCCUCCAUCCUCCUCCCACCCCACCCUAAAAUCUCCAAUCUUCUCUUGACAGGAACAAGAGAUCCCCGGCGGCGAUCCCCGGCGAGAGAUCAGUCAAGGAGGGCUCGCGGCG